UCUGACAACUGCCUUGGCCUCCCUCUAAACAUCUUUCCUUACAGUUACCAGUUUUGAGAGUGCGUUUUCCAGGGAUAAGGAAUCACUUAUCUUUGGAGAAAGUUUAUGAGUGAAUUAAAGAAGCAAAGGACAUCAUUUCAAUCCCCAAGUACAUAGAAGUCAGAUUGGUAGAACCAUCAUCAUGUUAAACAAGCAGAAGAACCAUUAGAAGCAGGGAAGUCCAAAUGCUUCUGAGAGGCUCCCAGCUCCUGAUCCCAUGUGUGGAAAGAUCAUGCAAGGAGUGGCGCGGCAAAACAAAGAUGGCACUGACAGCCAGCCCCGUCUGAAUGUAAACAACUUACAGUGCAUGUGCAGGCUUAUCCCCUCAUCACGGCAGCUGUAUGAUCUGGCGCCCUCCUGUUGUGAACAAUAGUACUGUGCAUGCACGGGUUUUGCACCUGGAGUCAGUUGGCCAGUAAUAUGCUAAUGAGGGGGCGGUACCAUGCUGGUGAGGUGAUUUGUUCUCCAACAAUCCCUGUAGGACAAGUAGUGGGGUGAUAGUGGGAUGACAGUGGGGUGAUAGUGGGGUGACCCAUUCCCCACCAAUCCCUGAAGGAUUUUUAGCAUACUGUUGUAUAUAUAAGGCGAGAACUUUUGCUGCUCGAGGUCCCCGUAUCAGCAAUGAAGGUGUCCUGCAAUAAAGGCUGUUGACAA
Molecule: non-coding RNA, 693 nt
Organism: Rattus norvegicus (Norway rat)
Lineage: Eukaryota; Metazoa; Chordata; Mammalia; Rodentia; Muridae
Source: RefSeq, a predicted model, not a curated record